This is a non-coding RNA of Coffea arabica (coffee), 3774 nucleotides long. The record is from RefSeq and is a predicted model, not a curated record. Lineage: Eukaryota; Viridiplantae; Streptophyta; Magnoliopsida; Gentianales; Rubiaceae.
UUUUGUCGGCAGAGAUUGCAAGCCGUAAAGCCUAGAUCUUGAGAGAUUAUUUUGCUUUGGGAAAGAAUUUGAAGGUUCUUGGCAUGUGGAUUCUGCUCACAUUGCGUGAGGAUCUGGAUUUUUGAGCGCAAAUCCAGUGGCUGACAUUUGAAGCUAUUAAGUCGACCAUGGAAUCAGAAGGAGAAACUAAGGGGAAGGUCUUGAAGAAUUUAGGUGGGCAGGUUUGCCAGAUCUGUGGUGAUACUGUUGGCAAAACUGUGGAUGGGAAGCCAUUUGUUGCUUGUGAUGUCUGUGCAUUCCCUGUAUGCAGGCCAUGUUAUGAAUAUGAGAGGAAGGAUGGAAAUCAGUCUUGCCCUCAGUGCAAAACCAGAUACAAGAGACAUAAAGGAAGCCCUGAAAUUGAUGGUGAUGGAGAGGAGGAUGGUUCUGCUGAUGAUAAUGUAAGUGAUGUUCGUUACUCUGCAGAAACUCAAAAUGAGAAGCAAAAGGUUGCCGAGCGCAUGUUGAGCUGGCAUAUGACUUACGGAUGUGGUGAAGAUGUUGAGUUACCGAAAUAUGAUAAAGAAGUAUCCAACAAUAACAUUCCUUUGCUAACAAAUGGAACAGAUGUUUCUGGGGAGUUGUCUCAAGCAUCUCUUGGACGCCUGUCAAUGGCAUCGCCAGGCCAUCCUGGUGGUGUUAAACGCAUCCAUCAGCUUCCUUACGGGUCUGACAUGAAUCAAUCACCUAAUAUACGGGUUGUGGAUCCUGUAAGAGAGUUUCGUUCUCCAGGGUUGGGAAAUGUUGCCUGGAAAGAGAGAGUGGAUGGAUGGAAAAUGAAGCAGGAGAAGAACGUUGUUCCGAUGACCACUAGCCAUCCUCCUUCUGAAAGAGGAGUGGGAGAUAUUGAUGCGAACACAGAUGUGUUGGUGGAUGAUUCUCUACUGAAUGAUGAAGCUCGUCAGCCUCUUUCGAGAAAGGUUUCUAUUCCGUCAUCCAGGAUUAAUCCUUACAGGAUGGUUAUUGUCCUCCGGCUAGCUAUUCUUUGCAUUUUCUUGCACUACCGAAUAACAAAUCCUGUGUCCAAUGCGUAUCCUCUUUGGCUGAUGUCUGUGAUAUGUGAGAUUUGGUUUGCUAUCUCUUGGAUUUUGGAUCAGUUCCCGAAGUGGCUUCCUGUGAAUUGAGAAACAUACCUUGACAGGCUUGCACUUAGAUAUGAUCGUGAAGGGGAGCCAUCUCAAUUAGCUGCUGUUGAUAUUUUUGUCAGUACUGUUGAUCCUCUGAAGGAGCCUCCUCUUGUUACAGCCAAUACUGUCCUGUCCAUUCUUGCAGUUGACUAUCCAGUUGACAAGGUGUCAUGCUAUGUCUCCGAUGAUGGUGCAGCUAUGUUGACAUUUGAAGCUCUAUCAGAAACAUCAGAAUUUGCAAGAAAAUGGGUUCCUUUCUGCAAAAAGUACAGCAUUGAACCAAGGGCUCCAGAGUGGUAUUUUACCCAGAAGAUCGAUUAUUUGAAAGAUAAAGUUCACCCUUCAUUUGCGAAAGAUCGUAGGGCCAUGAAGAGAGAGUAUGAGGAGUUCAAAAUACAUAUCAACGCGCUAGUUGCUAAAGCCCAGAAAGUUCCUGAAGAAGGAUGGAUCAUGCAAGAUGGUACACCUUGGCCUGGAAAUAACACUAGGGAUCAUCCAGGCAUGAUUCAGGUUUUCUUGGGGCAAAGUGGAGGUCUUGACAGCGAGGGUAAAUAACUGCCUAGAUUAGUCUAUGUUUCUCGUGAGAAGCGUCCAGGCUUCCAACAUCACAAGAAAGCUGGUGCUAUGAAUGCUCUUGUUCGUGUUUCUGCUGUUCUUACAAAUGGACCUUUCUUGUUGAAUCUUGAUUGUGAUCACUAUGUAAACAACAGCAAGGCUUUGCGAGAAGCAAUGUGCUUUCUGAUGGAUCCCAACCUUGGAAAAUAUGUUUGUUAUGUUCAAUUUCCACAGAGAUUUGAUGGUAUUGAUAGGAGUGAUCGUUAUGCAAAUCGAAACACUGUGUUCUUUGAUAUAAACUUGAGAGGUUUGGAUGGCAUUCAAGGACCAGUUUAUGUGGGUACUGGAUGUGUCUUUAACAGAACAGCUCUGUAUGGUUAUGAGCCUCCUCACAAACCUAAGCACAAAAAACCAGGUCUAUUUUCUUCUUGCUUCGGUAGAUCAAAAAAGAACAGUUCUAAGUCAAGUAAGAAGGGAUCGGACAAAAAGAAGUCUAGCAAGCAUGUUGAUCCUACUGUGCCCAUCUUCAGCUUGGAGGAUAUAGACUAUAGAGGAAGGAGUUGAAGGUGCUGGAUUUGAUGAUGAGAAGUCACUGUUAAUGUCAUAAAUGAGCCUUGAGAAGAGAUUUGGUCAGUCUGCCGUUUUUGUUGCUUCAACUCUUAUGGAGAAUGGUGGUGUCCCUCAGUCUGCUACACCAGAGACACUUCUCAAAGGAAGCAAUUCAUGUGAUUAGUUGUGGAUAUGAGGAUAAAACAGAAUGGGGAAGUGAGAUUGGGUGGAUUUAUGGUUCCGUCACAGAAGAUAUUCUCACAGGAUUCAAGAUGCAUGCCCGUGGCUGGCGUUCAGUUUACUGCAUGCCUCAGAGGCCCGCAUUCAAGGGGUCAGCUCCAAUCAAUCUUUCUGAUCGUCUGAGCCAGGUGCUUCGAUGGGCUUUAGGAUCCGUGGAAAUUCUUUUCAGCCGGCAUUGCCCCAUAUGGUAUGGGUAUGGUGGAAGGCUGAAGUGGCUAGAGAGAUUUGCAUAUGUCAAUACAACCAUUUACCCAGUCACUGCCAUUCCUCUCCUUAUCUAUUGUACUUUGCCUGCUGUCUGUCUACUUACUGGGAAGUUUAUUAUUCCACAGAUUAGUAACUUUGCCAGCAUAUGGUUUAUAUCCCUCUUUCUUUCAAUCUUUGCCACUGGUAUUCUUGAGAUGCGUUGGAGUGGUGUCGGCAUUGAUGAAUGGUGGAGGAAUGAACAGUUUUGGGUCAUUGGUGGUGUGUCUGCUCAUCUCUUCGCUGUCGUCCAAGGGUUGCUCAAGGUGCUUGCUGGAAUUGAUACCAACUUCACAGUCACAUCCAAGGCAUCAGAUGAGGAUGGCGAUUUUGCAGAACUCUACAUGUUCAAAUGGACAACCCUUCUGAUACCCCCCGCAACUCUCCUCAUUGUAAACUUGGUUGGUGUUGUUGCAGGCAUUUCCUAUGCAAUCAACAGUGGAUACCAGUCUUGGGGUCCCCUCUUUGGAAAGCUAUUCUUUGCCUUCUGGGUGAUCGUUCAUCUCUAUCCUUUCCUCAAAGGUUUGAUGGGUCGCCAAAACCGGACACCUACCAUUGUGGUCGUGUGGUCAAUCCUUCUUGCUUCCAGCUUCUCUUUGUUGUGGGUGCGGAUUGAUCCCUUCACCACCAGAGUUACUGGCCCGGAUGUUGAGCAGUGUGGAAUUAACUGUUAAUAAAUCGAGAUCUCGAACAACAAACUUCAUUCCAGACAAACCCUUUAGUGAAUAAGGGGUUGGUUUUUAUUGGCCAGGCUUGGCCGUGUACCUGUUUUGUCUGUGAAGUCAUACAUUUUGUGCAGAAAUUAGUAGUAAUAUACACUGUUCCAAAGAUGUGCCAUGAACAGACGAGUAAAUUUUGUUGGUUAAGCUUUCUUGAAAGGAGAGAUUGCCCAGACCUGUUUAUUGUAUUUGUUUUUCUAAGCCCACUUCAUACCCAACUGAUAGUAAGCACCCUUGUAAUUUAGUGCAUGCACUAGGCAGUUCAUUUAUUCAGUAAUGUAAAGUCAUUCAUUUGUUCAGCA